UCGAUAGGGGCCGUGAGAGCGGUUGCCCCGAGAUGGGUACUGAGACAGCGACCCAGGCCUUACGAGGCGCAGCAGGCGCGAGACCUCCGCAAUACACGCAAGUGUGACGGGGUUACCCAAAGUGUCCUUAUUGGACUGUGGCGGGUGAGUAAUGUUCCCCGCUAGAAAGGAGAGGGCAAGGCUGGUGCCAGCCGCCGCGGUAAAACCAGCUCUUCAAGUGGUCGGGAUAAUUUAUUGGGCUUAAAGUGUCCGUAGCCGGUUUAGUAAGUUCCUGGUAAAACCGGGCAGCUUAACUGUCCGUAUGCUAGGAAUACUGCUAUGCUAGAGGGCGGGAGAGGUCUGAGGUACUACAGGGGUACGGGUUAACUCUUAUAAUCCUUGUAGGACCCCAGUGGCGAAAGCGUCAGACUGGACGCGCCUGACGGUGAGGGACGAAAGCCAAGGGGAGCGAACCGGAUUAGAUACCCGGGUAGUCCUGGCCGUAAACGAUGCAUACUAGGCAAUGGUGCGGCCAUGAGCCGCAUCAGUACCGUAGGGAAACCGGUAAGUGUGCCGCCUGGGAAGUACGGUCGCAAGGCUAAAACUUAAAGGAAUUGGCGGGGGAGCACCACAAGGGGUGAAGCCUGCGGUUCAAUUGGACUCAACGCCGGGAAACUUACCAGGGGAGACAGCAGAAUGACAGUCAGGUUGACGACCUUACUCGACGAGCUGAGAGGAGGUGCAUGGCCGUCGCCAGUUCGUGCUGUGAGGUAUCCUGUUAAGUCAGGCAACGAACGAGAUCCGCGCCUUUAUUUGCCAUCAAGAAGUCACGACUUUAUUGGGCACAACUAAUAGGGACCGCCGUCGAUAAGACGGAGGAAGGAGCGGGCAAAGGCAGGUCAGUAUGCCCCGAAACCCCUGGGCUACACGCGGGCUGCAAUGGUGCGAACAAUGGGCUGUAACUCCGAAAGGAGAAACCAAUCCCGAAAUCGCAUCUCAGUGGGGAUUGUCGACUGUAACUCGUUGACAUGAACGU
Molecule: ribosomal RNA, 1015 nt
Filed under: uncultured crenarchaeote
Lineage: Archaea; Thermoproteati; Thermoproteota
Description: bacterial SSU rRNA
Rfam family: Archaeal small subunit ribosomal RNA
Source: RNAcentral